UAAUAGAGCACACUAUUACAUGUGGUUUACGGGGACUCUCCUUAGACGUCAUGGUUUUUAUACUAUACAAACUGUAUAUUCUCUCCUCCACUAACACUACACUCUUAAAACAGAUGUGUUAAAAACAACACAACCUAUGUUAUAUUUUAACACACCUGUGUGUCUAGUUAAGGACAACACAUUUUGUGUUACUUUUAACUCAACCAGUAUGUUAUUUUUUCUUAAAGGUGCUAAAGAGGAUGUUUUGUUUUAUACAUUUUUGCAAUAUUACUUCACUCUCAGAAAUAAAGGUACAGUGAGGGUACAAUUAAGUACUUUAAGGUACAAAUUUCACAAAUGUGCCAGCAAAGGAACAAACAUGUAUCCAGCUGAGUACCAAAAAGUACUUUUCCAAAGAAAAGGGGUACACAAUGAAAUAUGCAUGGUGAAAGGUACAUAUAUGUACCCUUUGAAAAGGUACAUUGUCAUAUAAAGUAAUAGUUAAGGUACAACAUUCACAAAUGUACCAUUAAAGGUCCUAUCGUGUUCCCAUGGGGUACUUAGAAGUACCUUUUGGGUACACAUCCUGUAGGGUACAAAAAAGUACCUUAUUCAAGUCAAAGGGUACACUUCCUGUGGGGUACUAAGAAGUACUUUUCAAGUUACAGGGUACACAAUCCUCUGGGGUAGCAGCUACUUAUGCGUGCCUUUUCUAAGACUGAUAGAGCCUUUGUCAUAAUUUGUAAAUGUGGUAUGCCUUGGACAGAUUGACACAAUAAAUGUGUUAUCUCCUGGGCGGGCAGUUUGUGUUUAUGAAAAUAAAAACAAUACAUAUAUUUCAUAUGGUAGCACAUAAAAAGCUCUAUAAAUAAUGAAUAAUCAUUUAUAAAAAUAAAUAUACAUUAUAUAUAUUUCAAUUUAUUACAAUGUUAACGGCUGUUUUUUGUCGGCCAAUCACGUCACGCCUCUCGUCUUUUCAAACUGCGGCGGAUCGCGCUCUUUUCACUCCGGCCUGGUUUGAGGGGAAUCGCGAUGCUUUGGACCGUUCCGUAAGUUACGGUAGAUAAUACUUGUUAAAAUGCGUAGUGCUGAAAAAAACGAUCAUAGAAAUAGUUAGCUAACAAAUAUGUUGUUAAUUAACGUUAGUUGGAGAGUGGCGACGUACGUCGAGCAGUGUAGCGUUAGUGAAGUGUUAGCCAGGCAGAGCGCACGACAAGCUGCCCAGCACACCAGAUCAUUAUAAACAACUAAAAGAGUGCAUUAUAAGUGAAGGAUUUAACGUGGAGCGUUUGCUUUGCUGCAUCAGGACGUUGUCAAGAAUUUGAUUCGAUGUUGACGGAGAUGAAGGUUUGACCGAUUUCACGUCAAGCACAGGAGCCCUACCACAAAUGCUGGAGAGUGCCGUCAAAUCCAGCAGUGAAGAUGAACAUCUAAGGGGACUCCCACAAUGGCUUGCUGCUCAGAUAUGCUGUGUGUAUGGAAAGACUGAGGAGUUGAAAGCUGAUUCUACCCUGGAAAGGAGUAAUUUUCUCUUUUAGAGGGGAUGGAAGACCAAGCAGAUACUAUAUUAAAAAGUGCUACACAAUGAUGGUUGUUCUUGCAUAUCUUCUGCCACCGUUGCCUGGAAGUCGAUGCAAUGUUAAAUCUGAAAUCUUCAUUUCUUUCAAUUUAAUUUUGUACCGCGUGGAGCCACUAUUGCAUCCCUCUGCAGCAGUUUUGAGACCGCAUCAAAGACCAGACCACAGCCGAUCUACAUUGGAAGUUUGAAGAGCACAACAUGACAGUACAUCAUUACGAGGAUUGACAGAGUAACCAUUCCUGUGGAUGAGGGCCUGAUGUGCUGUGGACAAUAUAUUCUAGGUGUGAAACUUGUCCUGUCCACCACAGAUUAGUUUGGUCUUUUCUUUCUAAGACUGGAGCAUCUAAUAUUGAAACACCACAUUCUCUUCUUUUUAAAACUGACAUCGUUUCGCUAGAAAACAACCUCUUCUUCAGCUGUGAUUGCGUACAGCCCGUUUAAACACUUCAAAGACUUUUAAAACUGCAUUGAUUUGGACUUAAAAACAAUGGUAACCAAUGAACUCCAUUGUUAGAAGAAAAAUCCAGAAAUGUUUUCCUCAAAAAACAAAAUUUCUCUCCCACUGAGGAAAGAAAGACAUGGAUAUCUUGGAUGGCAUUGGGUGAGUAAAUUAUUAGGAAAUUUUCUUUUUGGGGUGAACUAAUCCUUUAAGCAUACAAUGAACACUCACAGUAGCUUUUAGUCAAUAUAAAGCGUUAUGUUAUCUUAUGUUAUGUUCUUACACUGCAGUAAGUAAUGCAUUCAUAAAGUGAUUCUCUAUUAAAGUUGUUUAAAUGUGAAAAACUUUGUUUAUUAAAGUUUAUUGCAAACGAA
Molecule: long non-coding RNA, 2371 nt
Organism: Megalobrama amblycephala (Wuchang bream)
Lineage: Eukaryota; Metazoa; Chordata; Actinopteri; Cypriniformes; Xenocyprididae
Exons: 6
Source: RefSeq, a predicted model, not a curated record